GAUGAACGCUGGCGGCGUGCCUAAUACAUGCAAGUCGAACGCUGGAGAUCUAGCUUGCUAGCUCGAAGGAGUGGCGAACGGGUGAGUAAUACAUAAGCAACCUACCCACGAAGACUGGGAUAAUCUCUGGAAACGGGGACUAAUACCGGAUAGGUAAUCGGAAGGCCUCUUCUGGUUAUUAAAGGUUAAAAACACUGGUGGAUGGACUUAUGGCGCAUUAGUUAGUUGGUGAGGUAACGGCCCACCAAGACGAUGAUGCGUAGCCGGCCUGAGAGGGUGAACGGCCACAUUGGGACUGAGACACGGCCCAGACUCCUACGGGAGGCAGCAGUAGGGAAUUUUCGGCAAUGGGGGCAACCCUGACCGAGCAACGCCGCGUGAGUGAAGACGGCCUUCGGGUUGUAAAGCUCUGUUGUAAGGGAAGAACGGUAGAUAGAGAAUAUCUAAGUGACGGUACCUUACCAGAAAGCCACGGCUAACUACGUG
Molecule: ribosomal RNA, 486 nt
Filed under: uncultured bacterium
Lineage: Bacteria
Description: partial 16S ribosomal RNA
Rfam family: Bacterial small subunit ribosomal RNA
Source: RNAcentral